This 466-nucleotide ribosomal RNA is filed under the name uncultured bacterium. RNAcentral's name for it is "partial 16S ribosomal RNA". It matches the Rfam family "Bacterial small subunit ribosomal RNA", at positions 28 to 507 of the family's 1533-position model. The record is from RNAcentral.
GAUGAACGCUGGCGGCGUGCUUAACACAUGCAAGUCGAACGAUGAAGCCCAGCUUGCUGGGUGGAUUAGUGGCGAACGGGUGAGUAACACGUGAGUAACCUGCCCUUAACUCUGGGAUAAGCCUGGGAAACUGGGUCUAAUACCGGAUAGGAGCGCCUACCGCAUGGUGGGUGUUGGAAAGAUUUAUCGGUUUUGGAUGGACUCGCGGCCUAUCAGCUUGUUGGUGAGUUAAUGGCUCACCAAGGCGACGACGGGUAGCCGGCCUGAGAGGGUGACCGGCCACACUGGGACUAAGAGACGGACCAGACUCCUACGGGAGGCAGCAGUGGGGAAUAUUGCACAAUGGGCGAAAGCCUGAUGCAGCGACGCCGCGUGAGGGAUGCCGGCCUUCGGGUUGUAAACCUCUUUCAGUAGGGAAGAUGCGAAAGUGACGGUACCUGCAGAAGAAGCACCGGCUAACUACGUG